RNAcentral lists this ribosomal RNA (313 nucleotides) under uncultured fungus. RNAcentral describes it as "SSU rRNA". It matches the Rfam family "Eukaryotic small subunit ribosomal RNA", at positions 1353 to 1688 of the family's 1831-position model. The record is from RNAcentral. Lineage: Eukaryota; Fungi.
ACUUAGCUUAUCAGCUUUUGCUGAUUAUUAGCUUCUUAGAGGGACUAUCGAUAUCAAAUCGAUGGAAGUUUGAGGCAAUAACAGGUCUGUGAUGCCCUUAGACGUUCUGGGCCGCACGCGCGCUACACUGACGGAGCCAGCGAGUACAUAACCUUGGCCGAGAGGUCUGGGUAAUCUUGUUAAACUCCGUCGUGCUGGGGAUAGAGCAUUGCAAUUAUUGCUCUUCAACGAGGAAUUCCUAGUAAGCGCAAGUCAUCAGCUUGCGUUGAUUACGUCCCUGCCCUUUGUACACACCGCCCGUCGCUACUACCAU